RNAcentral lists this long non-coding RNA (4019 nucleotides) under Homo sapiens (human). RNAcentral's name for it is "PCBP1 antisense RNA 1, transcript variant 71 (PCBP1-AS1)". Lineage: Eukaryota; Metazoa; Chordata; Mammalia; Primates; Hominidae. The record is from RNAcentral.
GUCCCCGGCGUCCGGGCGCCCUGCAUGGAUCCCCCACCCCAGCUCCUGCUCCCCGGCGGCGGCCGGUGGGCAGAAAGACCGAAACCCACUCACGGCCGCCUGCCGAAUCGCGGCUCUGCUGUUUGUGGGGCGUGCUAGAAACGUGGUCCUAAAAAGAAUGGCGUCCAUUUACAUAAUGCUUUGUUUGCGUUUCGCAAGUUUCUUUCGGUUAAAGCCACAGAAACCCCACCUCCUGCCCUUGUGUCGUUUCCACCGCGGCACCCUUUUCCGACAUUAGAAACAAUAGUGUACGCCUGUGGAGGCCUCGUUUGUUCAGGGGCUGCCGGCCAGGGCUUCAGGACGUUUCUGCGGCUUUCCCCGCGCGGCCUGGGCUCCCGCGGCUGCUUUUCGGGCCCAUGGGCGCAGCCACUGCGCCAGGCUCAAGGGGGGCGGCCCCGUCAGGGCCCGCCAUCUUGGAAGGCCUUUUUUGCCGGUUCUUCCCGCUGAGGAAGUGUCGCUCAAGACGCUGGCCUAUGAGUUGUGAUUUCUGCCUUUUCCCCUUCCUCCUUGGGCUAAGCCAGACCAGAAAGGGCCCCGUGCGCAACGUGCUUCACAAUCUCUCAGGGAAAGCGGCUAACGUGGCGCUACUCCGCCUCCCCUGUUCCUUACCCUUGGGGCGGCCGCCAUGUUUCCUGAACACAAAAUGGCGACACGUGGUUAGCAUUCGUCGCCAACGAGAAAUUGGGGUCGGCCCGAAAGCUCUAGAAUGCACCCCUCUUCCUCCCCGGGGCCUUCCACCUCCGCGAGUUUUAUGACUUAAAAAAGCCCACAGGCUGGUCUGAAGGUCGGAGGCCUAAUUUUAACGCGUUUUCCUCCCUUUAAUUUGAAACGGGAACGCGAAUGACUGUAAAAUGUGGGCACAAUAUUUAAUCUCUCGCCUUUUUAAAGCUUAAUAGUGGAUAAUAGGGGGGCAGUAUCAAGGGAUAAUUUGGGUCCCCACAGUACCAAAGCAUUUAGAAACCUCUGUUUAAUUUAAGGAAUGAGAUAAGUUACUGCUUUUCUAGACUUCCUAGCAUGGGCUGUUGUGCUGGAGAGAACGAGAGCUACGAAGAGACUACAGUGCCUCUGACUUUUUCAUAGGACAGUUGGCCGGUGAAUCUUAUUAAUAGUUUACCACAAUUAAGUGUUCAUUUUUAGUCUAGAAGGGACAGGCGUUUAUUGUGCAUUGGCCAGUGCCAGCACAUCCGAUGCAAGGCAGUUCACCGUAUUCUAUCUUUAAUUUUUACCAUGGUCCUCUGAGGUAGGUGUUCUUAUCUCUCUCUCUCUCUCUCUCUUUUAAACAGAGGAAGACAAACAUAAAGAUGAAGUGCUUAAUUCAAGGUCACACAAUGUCGGGGAUGGACCUCCAGAUUUCCUUACUGGUGAGACGUGGUCUUGUAACACAGUGGUUAAGAAUGUGACUUUGGAGCCAGCCUGCUAGGGGCUGAAUUCUGACUCAGCCAUUUACUAACUGUGUGACCUUAGGUAAGUCAUUUACCUUCUUUGUCCCUCAGUUUCAUCUCGGUUAAGUAGGGAUAAUGAUAGCACCUAUUUUAUAGGGUUAUUGUGAGGAAUAAAUCCAAGUAAAAUGCUUAGAAUAGUAACUGAAACAUAGCACUCAUUAGGAAUGCUUUAAUUUUCAUUUAUUUGAGUAUUAAAGGUUGAAUUUUCAGAGGUAUUUUGGACCUUUGUAUUUUUUCUUUAAAUCACUUAUUCAUGACUUUUGAACUUUUUUUUUUCUUUUAGAGACAGGGUCUUGGUUUGUUGUCUAGGCUGGAAUGCAGUGGUGCAAUCAUAGCUCACUGUAGCCUUGAACUCUUGGGCUCAAGAGAUCCUCCUGCCUCAGCCUCGUGAGUAGCUGGGCCUACAGGCGCCUGCUACCACACCUGGCUAAUUUUUUAUUUUUUGUAGAGAUGGGUUCUUGCAGCCCAGACUGGUCUUGAGCUUUGGCCUGAAGUGCUCCUCCUGCCUUGGCCUCUCAAAGCAUUGGGGUUACAGGUGUGAAGCACUGCACCUUGCCUACACAUUUUUUCCAAUAAUUUUUUUUAUUAAUUUGUAAGAGUUAACAUGUCGACUAUCAUAUAUAACAUAGAAUUGUUCCCAUUUUGUCAUUUCCUUUCAACUUUGUCUAUGUAGCUUUUUUUCUGUGUGCAAAUUUUACAUUUUUAGGUAGUCAGAAAAUCUCUUCCCUUGUAAUUUUUUCUGCUACUAGACCAAUGUUUAGAAAAAAGCGUGCUUCCCCACCUCAAAAUUAUAAAAAUAGUUACUUGUUCUUUUUGAGUACUGUGUGUGUUUAAAUCUUUAAUCUUUAAAUUUAAAUCUUUGAUCCAUCUGGUAUUUAUUUUGAUAUGAAGAGAGUGGUUGGGAUCUGGCUGUAUUUCUUUUUUCUUUUUUUUUCUUUUUUCUUUUUUUGACGAAGUCUCACUGUUGCUCAGGCUGGAGUGCAAUGGCAUGAUCUCGGCUCAUCACAACCUCUGCUUCCUGGGUUCAAGCGAUUCUCCUGCCUCAGCCUCCCGAGUACCUGGGACUACAGGCACUCGCCACCAUGCCCGGCUGAUUUUUGUAUUUUUAAUAGAGAUGGUUUCACUAUGUUGGCCAGGCUGGUCUCGAACUCCUGACCUUGUGAUCUGCCCACCUCAGCCUCGAAAAGUGCUGGGAUUACAGGCGUGAGCCACUGCGCCCAGCCUUGUAUUUUUUUUCAGUUUGGGUAGCUGUCCCUAAUUCAUUUGUUAAAGGAGAAGCAAGAGCAAGAACCUUUAAUCUGUUCUCCUCUUCCCUAAUUUGAAAGUAGCUUGUUAUUUUGAAUAUCACUUUCUCUGAAAUAGCACAUCUCCAUCUCAGAGAAUGGAUUUAAUGUUUGGAUACAGCCAAAAGUCAUUUCAUUACCAAACCAUGGGGUGAAUAUACCAUGUAAAGCAGUUUGGGAUCAGAACUCACAGUCUGAAUUGUAAGUGAUGAGACUGCUGUCUCUCUGCUACAGCUUCUUGGCUGGCUCUGAAGGCUCUUUGAAGGCAGAUCCUAACAAGGGGACUGCUUUGAAGGGCCAUUGUUCAUUUGGAAUGAUAAAGUCUAUGUUGUUCAAAAAACAAAUGCUUGUAGCAGGUAUUUUUUCACUCCAGACUGAGAAUAUUGGUGGGAUAUUGAUAAGGGGUACUGAAUGGUAAUAAACAUGUGCUCUAGCUCUGUGCUAGUCAGCUUAUUUCAGAACUCUAGUUUGAUUCAGUUUCUUGCCUCUGACUCAAAAUGGAGGGAGAGUGAUUUUUACAUAAGAGAACACACCCACAUAUCCUUUUGGCAGCAGCUACCUGCCAGAGAUGUUGAAGAAGAGUAGCCAACCUUUACACAGCAGAUAUUGUGUGCCAGUCAUAGUCCUAAGUAUAAUACCUUACAUGUAUAAACUUCUUAUAAGGUUGGUGCUCUGUACCGAAUUGAAUAGUAUCCCCCAAAAUUCAUGUUGUCCCAGAACCUAUGAAAGUGAUCUUACUUGAGGGAGGGGGGAGGGGGGAGGGAUAGCAUUAGGAGAUAUACCUAAUGCUAAAUGACGAGUUAAUGGGUGUAGCACACCAGCAUGGCACAUGUAUACAUAUGUAACUAACCUGCACAUUGUGCACAUGUACCCUAAAACUUAAAGUAUAAUAAUAAUAAAAUAAAAAAAAAAAAGAAAGUGAUCUUACUUGGAAAUAAGGUCUUUGCACAUAUGAUCAAGUUGAGAUGAAGUUGUACUGGAAAGUCUGUCUAGUGACUGGUGUUGUCAUAAGAAGAGAGGGACACAGAGGGAAGAUGGCCACAUGAAGAUGGAGGCAGAGAUUGCAGUUAUGCUGCUGCAAACUAAGGAAUGGCUCUGGCCCUCCAAGGAUUGCUGAUAACCACCAGAAACUAGAAGAGACAAGGAAGGAUUCUUCCCUAGAGCCUUCAGAGGGAGCAUGGCCCUACUGACACCUGGAUUUCAAACUUGUAGCUUCCUAAACUGCAAGAGAAUAAAUUUCUGUUGUUUUAAGCCA